Molecule: ribosomal RNA, 1171 nt
Filed under: Salmonella enterica subsp. enterica serovar Bareilly
Lineage: Bacteria; Pseudomonadati; Pseudomonadota; Gammaproteobacteria; Enterobacterales; Enterobacteriaceae
Description: partial 23S ribosomal RNA
Rfam family: Bacterial large subunit ribosomal RNA
Source: RNAcentral
CUUUUGGGUGUGACUGCGUACCUUUUGUAUAAUGGGUCAGCGACUUAUAUUCUGUAGCAAGGUUAACCGAAUAGGGGAGCCGGAGGGAAACCGAGUCUUAAUUGGGCGUUAAGUUGCAGGGUAUAGACCCGAAACCCGGUGAUCUAGCCAUGGGCAGGUUGAAGGUUGGGUAACACUAACUGGAGGACCGAACCGACUAAUGUUGAAAAAUUAGCGGAUGACCUGUGGCUGGGGGUGAAAGGCCAAUCAAACCGGGAGAUAGCUGGUUCUCCCCGAAAGCUAUUUAGGUAGCGCCUCGUGAAUUCAUCUCCGGGGGUAGAGCACUGUUUCGGCUAGGGGGCCAUCCCGGCUUACCAACCCGAUGCAAACUGCGAAUACCGGAGAAUGUUAUCACGGGAGACACACGGCGGGUGCUAACGUCCGUCGUGAAGAGGGAAACAACCCAGACCGCCAGCUAAGGUCCCAAAGUCAUGGUUAAGUGGGAAACGAUGUGGGAAGGCACAGACAGCCAGGAUGUUGGCUUAGAAGCAGCCAUCAUUUAAAGAAAGCGUAAUAGCUCACUGGUCGAGUCGGCCUGCGCGGAAGAUGUAACGGGGCUAAACCAUGCACCGAAGCUGCGGCAGCGACGUUUAUGCGUUGUUGGGUAGGGGAGCGUUCUGUAAGCCUGCGAAGGUGGCCUGUGAGGGUUGCUGGAGGUAUCAGAAGUGCGAAUGCUGACAUAAGUAACGAUAAAGCGGGUGAAAAGCCCGCUCGCCGGAAGACCAAGGGUUCCUGUCCAACGUUAAUCGGGGCAGGGUGAGUCGACCCCUAAGGCGAGGCCGAAAGGCGUAGUCGAUGGGAAACGGGUUAAUAUUCCCGUACUUGGUGUUACUGCGAAGGGGGGACGGAGAAGGCUAUGUUGGCCGGGCGACGGUUGUCCCGGUUUAAGCGUGUAGGCUGGUUUUCCAGGCAAAUCCGGAAAAUCAAGGCUGAGGCGUGACGACGAGGCACUACGGUGCUGAAGCAACAAAUGCCCUGCUUCCAGGAAAAGCCUCUAAGCAUCAGGUAACAUCAAAUCGUACCCCAAACCGACACAGGUGGUCAGGUAGAGAAUACCAAGGCGCUUGAGAGAACUCGGGUGAAGGAACUAGGCAAAAUGGUGCCGUAACUUCGGGAGAAGGCACGCUGACAC